CGUGCGGCGGCUACACAUGCAGUCGAGCGGCUGACAGUAGGAGCUUGCUCUUAUGGGUGGCGAGUGGCGGACGGGGGCGGAAUACAUCCCAAUCUACCUUUUCCAGCGGGACAACGGGAGGAAACUUACCCUAAUCCCCCUUCCGACCAAAGGGUGAAAGCAUGGGACCUUCCGGCCUUGCACGAAUCGAUGACCCAAUGUCUGAUUAGCUAGGUGGCGGGGUAAAGGCCCACCAAUGCGACAAUGCUUUGAUGGGAUGAGAGGAUGAUCUGCCACUCUGGAACUGACACAACUCCCACACUCCGACGGGAGGGGGAAUUGGGGAAUAUGGGACAAUGGGUGAUAGCCUGAUCCCGCCAUACCGAGUGGGGGAAUAAGGUCUUCAGGUUGUUAAGCCCUUUUGGAAGGAAAGAAAAGCAAUCCGCUAAUACCCUGAUGUUCCCACCGUACCCAAAGAAUAAGCACCGGCUAACUUCGUGCCCGCAGCCGCGGAAAUACGAAGGGUGCAUCCGUUACUCUGAAUUACUGGGCGUAAAGCGUGCGUAGGUGGUUGUUUAAGUCUGUUCCGAAAGCCCUGGGCUCAACCUGGGAAUUGCAUGGGAUACUGGGCGACUAGAGAGGGGGAGAGAGUAGUGGAAUUCCCGGUGUAACGCUGAAAUGCGUAGAGAUCCAGAGGAACAUCCAUGGAGAACGCGGCUACCUGCAGCCACACUGACACUGAGGCACGAAAGCGUGGGGAGGAACAAGGAUUAUAUAACCUCGUAGUACUCGCCCUAAAAGAUGCGAUCAGGAUGUUGGGGGCAACUUGGCACGCAGUGUGGAAGCUAACGCGUUAAGUUUUCCCCCCGGGGAGAGUGGUCGCAAAAGUUAAAAUCUAAAGAAUUUACGGGGGGCCCCACAAAAGGGGGAGUAUGUGGUUUAAUUUGAUGCAAAGCGAAGAACCCUUCCCGGUCUUGACACGUGGAGAACUUUUCAGAGAUGGAUUGGGGCCUUUUGGAAAUCUAACACAGGGGUUGCAUGGCUGUGUUCUCCUCGUGUGUUGAGAUGUUGGGUUAAGUCCCCCAAAGAGAGCAACCCCUUUCUUUUGUGUCCAGCACGUAAUGGUGGGAACUUUAAGGAGGCCGCCGGUGACAAACCGGAGGAAGGUGGGGAAGAAGUCAAGUUAUCAUGGCCCUUACGGCCAAGGCUACCCACGUAGUUCAAUUGUAGGGACAGAGGGGUGCACACCCGGGAGGGCAAACCAAUCCCCGAAACCCUAUUUCAGUCCGGAUUGGCGUUUGCAACUUGACUCCAUGAAGUUGGAAUCCCUAGUAAUCGCAGAUCAGCAUUGCCGCGGUGAAUACGUUCCCGGGCCUUGUACACACCGCCCGUCACACCAUGGGAGUUUGUUGCACCAGAAGCAGGUAGUUUAACCUUCGGGAGGGCGGUGCCACGAGACAGAGCUCCGAACAAGG
RNAcentral lists this ribosomal RNA (1454 nucleotides) under Xanthomonas sp. NR30. RNAcentral describes it as "partial 16S ribosomal RNA". It matches the Rfam family "Bacterial small subunit ribosomal RNA". Lineage: Bacteria; Pseudomonadati; Pseudomonadota; Gammaproteobacteria; Lysobacterales; Lysobacteraceae. The record is from RNAcentral.